RNAcentral lists this transfer RNA (70 nucleotides) under Sphaerisporangium siamense. Its description in RNAcentral is "tRNA-Arg". Lineage: Bacteria; Bacillati; Actinomycetota; Actinomycetes; Streptosporangiales; Streptosporangiaceae. The record is from RNAcentral.
AGGCCAUCGGCCCGUUAGAGGAACCACCGCUCUCCUAGAGCGGGUGCCGCAGGUUCGAAUCCUGCCGGGG